RNAcentral lists this long non-coding RNA (358 nucleotides) under Musa acuminata (dwarf banana). RNAcentral's name for it is "long non-coding RNA (MACU_LNC009556)". The record is from RNAcentral. Lineage: Eukaryota; Viridiplantae; Streptophyta; Magnoliopsida; Zingiberales; Musaceae.
ACGAAAUGACAUCAUAAUUCUGCAUUCAUGAUAUCCAAAAUGCUCCUUACGUCUUUGCUAUGCCUUGAAAUUAUCAUAUGUCAUCGAUAUGCUCCUUAUGCCAAUGAUAUGCUCCAAUUAUCUUUCCUCGAUUGUAUGAACAAAACGUGAUUCAAACGAAAUGACAUCGUAAUUCUGCAUUCAUGAUAUCCAAAAUGCUCCUUACGUCUUUGUUAUGCCUUGAAAUUAUCAUAUGUCAUUGAUAUGCUCCUUAUGCCAAUGAUAUGCUCCAAUUACCUUUUCUCGAUUGUAUGAACAAAACGUGCUUUGAACGAUAUGAUAUUGUAAUUCUGCAUUCAAACAAAACAUGCUACUGUUU